CUCCUUCUCACAGUCUGAAACUCGUCAAAGCAUGGGACUUGUCUAGCCCAACCUCCCCACUCUUCCUGUAGCUCUGAAGGCUCAGUGACCUUGGCUACUGUCCCACCUGCUGAGGAGCCCGCAGUGUCUCCACUGCUCAGCCAUGCUCCUGCUGCUCAUCUCAGUGCUUGAGGUGAUUUUUGCCCCAAGAGGAACCGGAGCCCAGUCGGUGACCCAGCCCGAUGCCCACGUCACUGUUUCUGAAGAAGCCUUUCUGGAGCUGAGAUGCAACUAUUCCUAUAGUGGAACUCCUUAUCUCUACUGGUAUGUGCAGUACCCCAACCAAGGUCUCCAGCUUCUCCUCCAGUACGUAUCAGGGAACACCAAGGUUCAAGGUAUCAAAGGUUUCAAGGCUGAAUUUAAGGACAGUGAAACCUCUUUCCACCUGAAGAAACCCUCAGCCCGUUGGAGCGACUCAGCUGUGUACUUCUGUGCUGUGAGUGACACAGUGCCUGGGACUGCAGGGGGAGCCGAACGCAAACCUCCUGAGACACUGGGACUUCUUGUGACUCAAAAACUCAAGAGAGAGUUUUCCAAGAUCUUAUUUCAGGGAAGGGAAAUAGGGCAGGACAGGCUGGGCUCUGGGGAACACUUACCUCCUGAAGAGUUGCUUCAACAGCAAUGCUGUGCUACAUUCAGAUAG
Zalophus californianus (California sea lion) is the source of this 682-nucleotide non-coding RNA. The record is from the annotation of a RefSeq genome assembly. Lineage: Eukaryota; Metazoa; Chordata; Mammalia; Carnivora; Otariidae.